AAAUAACAAGCACUCAAAUUCUGUAUUGCAUUCCAUCAGCUAUACUUGCAAAUAAAACUUAAACAAAAUACUGCAAAAUUGUUAUCACAUGAUCACAUUACAAACCUUGAUUGAUCGAGUGACACUUUUCAAACACAUACAAGCUGCAGCACGUACACCGGCAUUAUAAUCAGUUAGUGCAUCAGCUAACAAAUUCAACACCUAUAUCAUGAGAAAAUAUUAGAAACUUCAAUGUAGUUGAAGAUUCACACAAAUAAGAAUCUCCAAUGAGAUUUGAUUGAGAAAGUCCCUUAAAAGAAACUACAAAGAAAUGCCUGAGAGAAUGCCUUCAAAGAAAAUUACCAUAAAUUUGCUUCAAGGGAACACAUCAUACUGAAGUUUUGAAAAUCUAAUUUAUAACUUUACAUUGAACAAUAUAGAAUAACCAUAAAAUAGAUAAAAAAAACUUAAAAUUUGUCUGAUUGUGAUGUGAGAUCUACUUCAAGGUAACCAUAGACACCUUGGGUAGAAAUCAAAGAUAUAAAGAUAAAAUAAUUUUUGUCAAAUUGCAGUAACUGCUAUUUUGGAACUUUGAUGUUUCUUUUGUUGUCCUGGCAAAGUAGUGCCAAGCGAUCCAACCACCAAGAUUAGAAAGUUCACUUAAGCAACAUAAGAAUAAAGAACCUUUUAGCCCUUCAAGAAGCAAAAGUAGACAUCUUUGAUGCAUUUUAAUUGAGUUCCGGCAUUAUGCAAGUGGAGAAAAUCUAUUUUGAUGUUGAAAGGCCAUUACGAACACCAUCACCUAACAGUGAGAAAGUGCUGGUGACUAAAAAGAUAGCCAAGGUGAUCCCCUAUGUCAACUUUCCACUGGACAAUACUUUUAGGUAUUGUAGGAGCCCAAAUUCCCGGGCCCAUUAAACCUUAAAUCCCAACCCCAAAUACACAUUUAAAUUCACCCACACUUAAGUCCAAAUUUUAAUCCAACAACCCAAUUACAAACAGACCCUGACCCAAACCCACAUAGCCCAAAUUCUUAACCCAACCAGCUAGAUUAGGGUUUCAAAAAGCUAAAACCUUAAUCAACCCCUAGCGCCGCUGACGUCCCAUCGCCUCAUACCAGCCACUUGCUCCACCUGCUCCACCGCCCAUGUCAGCACCACCCACUCGCCUGCAAAGAUCAAAAGGAGAGGGGACAGAUAAUACUAAAAAAUGCAUGUAACUUGGCUUUAAAAAGCCAAGCCGAAAUCAGAAAGAGGAUUCGACAGAUUUGUUUUCUUUUACAAAUAUAAAAUAUUCAGCAAUAUCUUGAGAAAUACAAAAAAGGAUAUUCAAGUUUUAUUCUAGCAACAUCAAAGCAAAGGAAUAGUGCAAAAAUCAAACUCAAAUAUCACGAAUCGAAGAACCGAAAUACCCAAACCUAAGGUGAUUUUAAUUUCAUUUUAGUUUCGUUUUUGGGUCCAUUUUCUCACAUAUAUAUAUAUUAAAAACAUAUAAAAAUUAUAAAAAAAAUAAGAAAAAAAAAACUUACCCUCACGCGGUGGCCGACGACGGCGGUGCACGGCGGUGCACGGCGGUCCGGCGAUCGGACGGUGACCAGCCCUGUGGCCGGAAAUUGCUCAGCUCUCCCUCUCUCUCCUUUUUUUUUCUG
Molecule: long non-coding RNA, 1627 nt
Filed under: Gossypium barbadense (sea-island cotton)
Lineage: Eukaryota; Viridiplantae; Streptophyta; Magnoliopsida; Malvales; Malvaceae
Description: long non-coding RNA (GBAR_LNC008496)
Source: RNAcentral